UUUCUCCAGAAUUCUCCCUGAAGAGAGGACAUUUGGAGUUUUUCUUUGUUGACACAAGCUUGCCGGAUUGAUGACAUAACUUUGUGUAAUAUAAUUUAUGCAACCGGUCUUGUUUAAAAUUUCAGGUAAGUGCUAUCUUGUGUCAUUGUUACAUCAAGUCACCAGCAAGCCUUGGAAGAGGGUCCCUCUUUCCUAAGUCUUCACAUAGGUUUCUUCAAAUUUUGCCUCAGGAGAGGAUAUUUGAAGUUUUUCAUUGUUGACAAGAGCUUGCUGGAUUGAUGACAUAACUUUUUUUUCUCCAUAAUUCAUGCUACAAUUCAGGUAAGUGCUAACAUGUGUCAUUGUUACGUCAAGUCACCAGCAAGCCUUGGAAGAGGUUCCCUCUUUCCUAUGUCUUCCCAAGGUUUUCUCCAAUAUUUCCUCCAGAGAGGACAUUUGGAGCUUUUAUUUGGUGACAUGAGUUGGUCUGACCCAAAGACUUCCCAUGUAUGAAGUGUGUUAUUUCAUAACUGUUGUAAAAUUUGACAGUGUUCAAUGAACUUGCCGUAUCGUUUGAAGUCACCAGCAAGACUUGUAAGAGGGUCCCUCUUUUCUAAGUCUUUCCAAGUUUUUUUCCAAUAUUUACAAUCAAGUAAAUAUUUGGAGCUGUUCCUUGACACGAGCUUUCUGGUCUGACCUGAAGACUUCACGUGGUUAAAGGUAUUAAUUGUAUAACUGUUCUUUAAUUUGACAACCUUCAUUUGACUUGCAGCAGUGUUACUUCAAGUCACCAGCAAGUGUUGUAACAGGGUCCCUCUUUCCUAAGUCUUCCCAAGGGUUUCUCCAGCACUUCCUCAAGAGAGGACAUUUGGAGUUUUUCCUUGUUGACAAGAGCUUGCUGGAUUGAUGACAUGACUUUGUUUCAUGUAAUUUAUCCUACAGUUCUUGUUUAAAAUUUCAGGUCAGAGUUAACUUGUGUCAUUGUUACAUCAAGUCCCCAACAAGCCUUGGAAGAAUGUCCCUCUUUCCUAAGUCUUGCCAAGGUUUUCUCCAAUAUUUUCUAUCCAAUUUUCUCUUUAGCUGCUAUAUUGUUCAUAUUAAAACUCUAGUCUCCAGUUCCAGAGCCACUUCAUACCAAUCCACUCUUUUACCAGUACACUCUUCGGGACAGAAGAACCCAAUUCACUGCUCCAUGAGGACGACGCCUGAGAUCCGUCUCACAUGUGAUGCAGUCACAUUAAAAUCCCCAGAGGCAGACAUCCUGCAUCUGAAUGUGCACAAGACCAGCAGCGUGAGCACAACCAGAAGAAGAAGAAUGCUCACUAAAAGAAGUUGGAUGAUGCUCAACUGACCAUGUAUCAGAGCAGACUCAGCGGGCCAGGCAGUCACAUAUGAUGUUUAGAUGGAGCCCUCAGCAGGUGUGAUGGAGGAUCUUCACAGUCAGCCAGAUGUGAUGGAGACACAGCUGCAGAGAGUCUUGGUUCACCCGCUGCAGACACAGUCAGGCGUGAUGGAGCUAUGUGAUCUGCAGACACUGUGGCUGCAGCUGCCACACAGAGAGAUGUUGGUCAGUGUGCUGGUGGGUUUCAGGUGCUCCUUGCCUCAGGUACAGGAGGUCAGUCUUGCCUCCUGGGUGAAUCCACCAUCCAAUCCAAGCCUUCAGAGGACAUCAAAGGACAAUAAUGGAGCAGCUUGAGCCUUUCCCCUAUCACAUUGUGAUUAUAUGAAUUAAAAAUACUGAAUUAAGUUAUUACUUU
Amphiprion ocellaris (clown anemonefish) is the source of this 1736-nucleotide long non-coding RNA. RefSeq lists it as uncharacterized. NCBI's taxonomy places the organism in Eukaryota, Metazoa, Chordata, Actinopteri, Pomacentridae. The transcript is spliced from 3 exons. The record is from RefSeq and is a predicted model, not a curated record.